GAGUUUGAUCGUGGCUCAGGACGAACGCUGGCGGCGUGCCUAACACAUGCAAGUCGAACGGGACUUGCCCCUUCGGGGACAAGUUUAGUGGCGAACGGGUGAGUAACGCGUGAGGAACCUGCCUUUCAGUGGGGGACAACAGUUGGAAACGACUGCUAAUACCGCAUAACACUUUGGGAUCGCAUGAUUCUGAAGUCAAAGAUUUAUUGCUGAAAGAUGGCCUCGCGUCUGAUUAGCUAGUUGGCGGGGUAAUGGCCCACCAAGGCGACGAUCAGUAGCCGGCCUGAGAGGGUGAACGGCCACAUUGGGACUGAGACACGGCCCAGACUCCUACGGGAGGCAGCAGUGGGGGAUAUUGCACAAUGGGGGAAACCCUGAUGCAGCGACGCCGCGUGGAGGAAGAAGGUUUUCGGAUUGUAAACUCCUGUCGUUAGGGACGAUAAUGACGGUACCUAACAAGAAGCACCGGCU
This 471-nucleotide ribosomal RNA is filed under the name uncultured bacterium. RNAcentral describes it as "bacterial SSU rRNA". It matches the Rfam family "Bacterial small subunit ribosomal RNA", at positions 9 to 498 of the family's 1533-position model. The record is from RNAcentral.